AUAGGGGAGCCGGAGGGAAACCGAGUCUUAACCGGGCGUUAAGUUGCAGGGUAUAGACCCGAAACCCGGUGAUCUAGCCAUGGGCAGGUUGAAGGUUGGGUAACACUAACUGGAGGACCGAACCGACUAAUGUUGAAAAAUUAGCGGAUGACCUGUGGCUGGGGGUGAAAGGCCAAUCAAACCGGGAGAUAGCUGGUUCUCCCCGAAAGCUAUUUAGGUAGCGCCUCGUGAAUUCAUCUCCGGGGGUAGAGCACUGUUUCGGCUAGGGGGCCAUCCCGGCUUACCAACCCGAUGCAAACUGCGAAUACCGGAGAAUGUUAUCACGGGAGACACACGGCGGGUGCUAACGUCCGUCGUGAAGAGGGAAACAACCCAGACCGCCAGCUAAGGUCCCAAAGUCAUGGUUAAGUGGGAAACGAUGUGGGAAGGCCCAGACAGCCAGGAUGUUGGCUUAGAAGCAGCCAUCAUUUAAAGAAAGCGUAAUAGCUCACUGGUCGAGUCGGCCUGCGCGGAAGAUGUAACGGGGCUAAACCAUGCACCGAAGCUGCGGCAGCGACGCUUAUGCGUUGUUGGGUAGGGGAGCGUUCUGUAAGCCUGUGAAGGUGUGUCGUGAGGCAUGCUGGAGGUAUCAGAAGUGCGAAUGCUGA
Molecule: ribosomal RNA, 647 nt
Filed under: Salmonella enterica
Lineage: Bacteria; Pseudomonadati; Pseudomonadota; Gammaproteobacteria; Enterobacterales; Enterobacteriaceae
Description: partial 23S ribosomal RNA
Rfam family: Bacterial large subunit ribosomal RNA
Source: RNAcentral